RNAcentral lists this ribosomal RNA (1289 nucleotides) under Kitasatospora sp. MAA4. RNAcentral describes it as "partial 23S ribosomal RNA". It matches the Rfam family "Bacterial large subunit ribosomal RNA", at positions 587 to 1765 of the family's 2925-position model. The record is from RNAcentral. Lineage: Bacteria; Bacillati; Actinomycetota; Actinomycetes; Kitasatosporales; Streptomycetaceae.
UGUCUCGUGACUGCGUGCCUUUUGAAGAAUGAGCCUGCGAGUUUGCGGUGUGUAGCGAGGUUAACCCGUGUGGGGUAGCCGUAGCGAAAGCGAGUCCGAAUAGGGCGUCUGAGUUGCAUGCCCAAGACCCGAAGCGGAGUGAUCUAGCCAUGGGCAGGUUGAAGCGGAGGUAAGACUUCGUGGAGGACCGAACCCACCAGGGUUGAAAACCUGGGGGAUGACCUGUGGUUAGGGGUGAAAGGCCAAUCAAACUCCGUGAUAGCUGGUUCUCCCCGAAAUGCAUUUAGGUGCAGCGUCACGUGUUUCUUGCCGGAGGUAGAGCACUGGAUAGGCGAUGGGCCUCACCGGGUUACUGACCUUAGCCAAACUCCGAAUGCCGGUAAGUGAGAGCGUGGCAGUGAGACUGUGGGGGAUAAGCUCCAUGGUCGAGAGGGAAACAGCCCAGAACACCGACUAAGGUCCCUAAGCGUGUGCUAAGUGGGAAAGGAUGUGGAGUCGCACAGACAACCAGGAGGUUGGCUUAGAAGCAGCCAUCCUUGAAAGAGUGCGUAAUAGCUCACUGGUCAAGUGAUUCCGCGCCGACAAUGUAGCGGGGCUCAAGCACACCACCGAAGUCGUGUCAUUGCAGCAAUACCUCCAACGGGGGCUGUGAUGGGUAGGGGAGCGUCGUGUGCCGGGUGAAGCAGCGGAGGAAUCCAGUUGUGGACGGUUCACGAGUGAGAAUGCAGGCAUGAGUAGCGAUACAAGAGUGGGAAACUCUUGCGCCGAUUGACCAAGGGUUCCUGGGUCAAGCUGAUCUGCCCAGGGUAAGUCGGGACCUAAGGCGAGGCCGACAGGCGUAGUCGAUGGACAACGGGUUGAUAUUCCCGUACCCGCUUUGAAGCGCCAACGUCGAACCUCUGAAUGCUAAAGCCGUGAAGCCGGCCCGGAGUCUUCGGACGAUGGGACGUGGUGGAGCCGCUGACCCAACAGGGUAGUAGGUGAGCGAUGGGGUGACGCAGGAAGGUAGUCCAGCCCGGGCGGUGGUUGUCCCGGGGUAAGGGUGUAGGCCGAGUGAUAGGCAAAUCCGUCACUCAUUAAGGCUGAGACCUGAUGCCGAGCCGAUUGUGGUGAAGUGGAUGAUCCUAUGCUGUCGAGAAAAGCCUCUAGCGAGUUUCAUGGCGGCCCGUACCCCAAACCGACUCAGGUGGUCAGGUAGAGAAUACCGAGGCGUUCGGGUGAACUAUGGUUAAGGAACUCGGCAAAAUGCCCCCGUAACUUCGGGAGAAGGGGGGCCACACCUGGUGAUG